RNAcentral lists this transfer RNA (37 nucleotides) under Alligator sinensis (Chinese alligator). RNAcentral describes it as "partial tRNA-Met". Lineage: Eukaryota; Metazoa; Chordata; Crocodylia; Alligatoridae. The record is from RNAcentral.
CCCAAAAAUAAGGGCUAACCCCCUUCACUCCUACCAC